GAUAGCGUUAUAGCUCU
This 17-nucleotide ribosomal RNA is filed under the name Isospora sp. JRB-2015. RNAcentral's name for it is "large subunit ribosomal RNA". Lineage: Eukaryota; Apicomplexa; Conoidasida; Eucoccidiorida; Eimeriidae. The record is from RNAcentral.